This 24-nucleotide non-coding RNA is filed under the name Mus musculus (house mouse). The record is from RNAcentral. Lineage: Eukaryota; Metazoa; Chordata; Mammalia; Rodentia; Muridae.
UGCUGGCUGGCUCUCACAUAGGCA